UUUAAUGGUCUAACCAGAGUCGAACCGGGAUCGAACCGAUUUAAUUAAAUAUACAAAAUUAUUUAAAAAUUGAUAUUCAAUUUCAAAUAUUUAAAUUCAAUAUUUUUAAACUAAUUUUAAUUCAAUUACAAAUUUCAAAUAUAAGACAAAAUUCAAUUCAAUUCAGUUACAAAUUCCAUUGAUUCCACCAAAUUGCUAGCAUACCAUAAGCCCUAUUCCAAUCUGUUCAUCAACAAAAUAAAUAAAACAUUAGAAAAAUCAAUUGGGAUUUUUUUUGGUAGCAUUACAACAGGGAACGAAAGAUUUUAAAUUAUAAGUAUAGUUUGCUGUGACAGAGUGCAAAUAUCUUGUCUUCAACAAUUCCAGCAGCUUUGGUUUAACAUUCAACAAAACAAAUAAAUAAUUCAAUUUCAAACUCAGAACAGAGACUCAGCUCAGAAUCUUCAAAAUUAGUUGGAAAAAAGAUGAAUGGCAAAGAGCCAAAGACAGAAUGAGCUCGGAGAGUCUGAGACAGAGUUACCUAAAAUCAGAGGAGAAGAGAAGGGGCGACAGCCAAAACGGUGAGGAGUGGAACAGCGACGACCCACGGCGAAGAGGGAGCAGCGAUGACCCACGGUGAGGAGUAGAGCAGCGACGACCCACGGCGAGGAGCGAAGAAGCAGCGACAGCAAGAGAGCUCGAAGAGGGACCUUGAGCUUGGACAAAGACACAGAGAGAGAGAGAGAGAGAGAGCGCACUUGAACACGAGAUCCACAGUCUGUCCCGCCGGUGGCCAAGGAAAGGAGAUCAAUGAUGAAGAAGGUGGUGGCUAGGGCUUCUAGUGGGUGUUUGCUCUGGUAGGGUUCAAUUUGGGAUUUUGGUAAAUAGUAAAUACUCAAUAGUGAGAGAGAUAGAAGGGAGAGAGGGUGUCUGUUUUACUUCAGCCCGUCUGGGCUUUUCUUUUUUUUUUUUUAAGGAUCAAAACGACGCCGUUUAACCCGCUCUCUAAAUAACAGGCCCAGUGUAGCCGGUUCAUUGGUUAACCACCGGUUUAACCGGUUUUUUACCGAUUUUUUGCAGAUCGAUUUUAGACAUCAACCGAACUGUCCAUAAGAUUGAUUUUCGGUUAACCCGGUCAAACUAGUCGGUCUGAUCCGAUUUUUAAAAGUUUUUAUUGUAAUAUAUCCACCAUUACCUAAAUUUUGAAUAAAAU
This 1192-nucleotide long non-coding RNA is filed under the name Arachis ipaensis. Its description in RNAcentral is "long non-coding RNA (AIPA_LNC000207)". Lineage: Eukaryota; Viridiplantae; Streptophyta; Magnoliopsida; Fabales; Fabaceae. The record is from RNAcentral.